This 2722-nucleotide long non-coding RNA is filed under the name Homo sapiens (human). Its description in RNAcentral is "HSALNT0160825". The record is from RNAcentral. Lineage: Eukaryota; Metazoa; Chordata; Mammalia; Primates; Hominidae.
GCCAAUGUUCACCCUGUCCAGGAUGGCACCUGCUGUCGUCUGGGGCACGGACACCAUCCGUGUCACGUUGUUCCGCUUGACAUCGGCCCUGGAGUCUUCCUAUAGGGGAACAUGAAGACAUCGGUUCAGUUGCCUGUUUCCGCAGCUAUUCCUUGUCACACUCAACGCUGCUUCAGCUGUUCAUGGGACAGCAUAAAAAUACACCUUCCACACUCUGUCUCAGGAUGUUUAACUGCAGUCAGGGAAAGGCUGCAUUUUCAGAAAGACUCUGGCAGGUCUGAACACCCAUUGGCCACACUGGUGCAUGGGGUGCCUGAAAACAGGUGCAAACCCGACUCUUCACCUCCCAGAGUCAGAUUAGAAUUGGAGGCCAGUCUGCUGUUCUAUUAGUGAAUCCUGGGAAGGCCUCUUAGCUUUAAGGGGUGUGUGUGUGUGUGUGUGUAUGUGUGUCCAUUUUUUUUAAUUAAAAAAGUAUUUUAGUUGACACAUUAUUAUGGAUAUGAUUUGAUGUGUUGAUAAAUGCAUCUGUUUCAUGGGGAAGGGGGUGUGGGAAGGAGACGGGACAGGGAGGAUAGGGAGAUGUUGGCCAACAGGUACAAAAUGACAAUCAGAGAGGAGGAAUGAGCUCUGGUUUUCUCCUGCACAGUGGGGUGACUGUUUUCCAAUACUGUAUUGCAUAUUUCAAAAUAGCUAGAAGAGAAGAUUUGAAUGUUCUCACCACAAAGAAAUGAUACAUCUGGGGUGACAGCCAUGCGAACUAUCCUGAUUUGAUCAUUUUACAUCAAGGCCACUUUUGUUGGGACCCGAACCAAGCCCUGAGGUUUGAGACUUGGUCACUGGAAUACCUUGUGCUGGGCAAGUUCCCCGGGGUUCUUCUCAUUUGGUCUUUUCAGUUCUGUCCAAUCCAGAAACUUUUCUUUGAACAAAAUCGUCUCAUUGUGUUCAGUAAGUCUCCCAAAUAUCGCCCAGUCGGGCCGCCCCUGUCCUUUUCUGUAGGGUGGGAAGGGGGUUGGGAGAACAGACAGGAAAAGAACCAAGAUGAAGCCAAGCUUAAACAAAGGAAUCUAAAACACAUGCGGCUGCUGGAAAAAACCUCAAAACCCAUCUUCGGUUGUGAAUCUGGCCUGGGAUGCAGCCACCUCUUAGAGCAACCCCCGCUGCUGCUUGUGCCCUGCUGUGCUACUGCCUCAGUCACUUCCUGCUUGGUCAAGACCACAGCUGCUGAUGUCACAGCUGAGGCACAUCAAAAAGGCUGCCUGAUUCAAAGAAAGCUGCCGGAUAAAUCAUAGAGCACAGACACUUCUACCUCAUGCUCUUAUGGGACUUUAGGAACCAAACAUAAGCACCUAUGGAAAAUGCACGGUGGUCUUGAAAGGCUGUGUGGUCUUUAUCAGAAAAUAUCUGAAUGACUGUCUCUUAUGUCAGUCCUACUCUGCAGGCUUGCUAAGAUGAUAAUUGAAAGGGCUUUUGGUUUCUGCUUUAGAAUCUGUCACUUAUGUUUUGAAGCGUUGUGAGCAAGCGAUGCAGCAGAUUGCAGGGUGAGGGGGAUGAACCUGGGCCAGAAGCCAGAUGUGUUUCUCCACGCACUGCCCUGACCUACAGCCGGAACUGGGCUCAGUGGUUUCAGCCUCAUUUGCUAAGAAGGGCUGGGUGCGUAAUCUUGGCUGCACCUUAAAAUCCCUGGGAGCUUUUAAGACAUAUUGACACAUAAACUGUAACUCACAUGAAACGAAAACACAUCUCUGGGGCUGGGCUGAGCAAAUGCCUUUUUUUUAAAGGCCCCUCAGGUGAUUCUGUCUCAGAGAUGUUGAAAACCAGUGGGUUAGGAGCUCAGUCAUCUACUUUCAGAUCUGUGAUUAUGCCACUAUUAAAUACAGUUGGCUAUCACAUAGAUUUUUAUGCUUUAGCUUGUUUUUUUUUCUCUGCUAUACCAAAUAAAAUCUUUUGAGCUGUUGUAGUUCCAGUCCUUAAAACAACAGUUGUUACCAUACUGAGGUUAAACAUUAGUGCAUUUGCUUAACAAGGACAUUAAAACUUCUUACCACACUGACAUAAUUUUAAUGAUUUCUAUAAUAAUUAAUAAGAAAAUCAAUAAUUGGAUUUUAAAGCAGGAAACUAGGCAGGAAAGUUGAAAUUCAUAUACCAGUUCAAUGGAAAACAUUAAAAUGUAGUUGUGUGAUGCCCAAUAUUCUAUGCUGUUUGUUGGUUCAUUGGUUUCUCAUCUAUUGUAACAGCACCCAUAGUUAAAAAGCACUACUUUUUUUGGUCUGAUAGUUAAAAAGACAACAACAAUCCUUUGCAUGUAAGAAUUUUUUUCUCAUAAUCACAAUUUUAGAGUUUGCACAUAUUCUAUUCAAUUUCAAAAAUAACUUUAAAGAGUCUAGUACCUGCAGGGAAUAUUACAAUUGCAAUCAUUGUUUUAAUACCAUCUCCUCUCCCUCUUCCCUUCCCAAAAGGUAUAAAGACAUAAACAUCAUCUGCUGCCAAAUAAAUCCUGGAAUUCGAGGGCGAUGCUGGGAAGGUACCAACCUUCGCCUUUUCUAUGGCGUUUGCGAACUCUCCUACCCACAGGAAGCAGCAGUGGGGAGAGAGCAGGAGGAAGCAGUCCCCACUAUUGAGCGCCGAAGCUCGAGGUUCCACCAGCCUGGUCUGCACGUGUCUUCUUCCUGAACACGAGGCAGACACUCACCGUCUUUCCAGACAGAACGGGGAUAGGACGCAC